Molecule: transfer RNA, 56 nt
Filed under: Loxosceles vonwredei
Lineage: Eukaryota; Metazoa; Arthropoda; Arachnida; Araneae; Sicariidae
Description: tRNA-Leu
Source: RNAcentral
ACAUUAUCUUAUUGGCAGACCAAAUGCAAUAGAAUUAGAAUCUAAUAACACCCUAA